UUCGCAAUGCCCGAAAGGGUGACGAAGCGACGCCGCGUGGGUGAAGAAGGCCUUCGGGUUGUAAAGCCCUGUCAGGAGUUAUGAAAUGUAGGUGCGAUAAUACCGUGCCUAUUUGACAAAGGCUCCAAAGGAAGCCACGGCUAACUCUGUGCCAGCAGCCGCGGUAAUACAGAGGUGGCAAGCGUUGUUCGGAAUUAUUGGGCGUAAAGAGCACGUAGGUGGGUUUGUAAGUCAGAUGUGAAAGCCUUCUGUUCAACGGAAGAAUUGCAUCUGAAACUGCGAGUCUUGAGUGUAGGAGGGGAGAAUGGAACUUCUGGUGGAGCGGAGGAAUGCGUAGAUAUCAGAAGGAACGCCGGCGGCGAAAGCGAUUCUCUGGCCUAUUACUGACACUGAGUGUGCGAAAGCUAGGGGAGCAAACGGGAUUAGAUACCCCGGUAGUCCUAGCCGUAAACGAUGGGCACUAAGUAGAGGGGUUUU
This 477-nucleotide ribosomal RNA is filed under the name Candidatus Scalindua marina (nom. nud.). RNAcentral's name for it is "bacterial SSU rRNA". It matches the Rfam family "Bacterial small subunit ribosomal RNA", at positions 365 to 832 of the family's 1533-position model. The record is from RNAcentral. Lineage: Bacteria; Pseudomonadati; Planctomycetota; Candidatus Brocadiia; Candidatus Brocadiales; Candidatus Scalinduaceae.